AGUGAACGCUGGCGGUAGGCCUAACACAUGCAAGUCGAACGGCAGCACAGUAAGAGCUUGCUCUUACGGGUGGCGAGUGGCGGACGGGUGAGGAAUACAUCGGAAUCUACUUUUUCGUGGGGGAUAACGUAGGGAAACGUACGCUAAUACCGCAUACGACCUACGGGUGAAAGCAGGGGAUCUUCGGACCUUGCGCGAUUGAAUGAGCCGAUGUCGGAUUAGCUAGUUGGCGGGGUAAAGGCCCACCAAGGCGACGAUCCGUAGCUGGUCUGAGAGGAUGAUCAGCCACACUGGAACUGAGACACGGUCCAGACUCCUACGGGAGGCAGCAGUGGGGAAUAUUGGACAAUGGGCGCAAGCCUGAUCCAGCCAUACCGCGUGGGUGAAGAAGGCCUUCGGGUUGUAAAGCCCUUUUGUUGGGAAAGAAAAGCAGCAGGUUAAUACCCCGCUGUUCUGACGGUACCAAAAGAAUAAGCACCGGCUAACUUCGUG
RNAcentral lists this ribosomal RNA (492 nucleotides) under uncultured bacterium. Its description in RNAcentral is "partial 16S ribosomal RNA". It matches the Rfam family "Bacterial small subunit ribosomal RNA", at positions 29 to 507 of the family's 1533-position model. The record is from RNAcentral.